This 275-nucleotide ribosomal RNA is filed under the name uncultured prokaryote. RNAcentral's name for it is "partial 16S ribosomal RNA". It matches the Rfam family "Bacterial small subunit ribosomal RNA", at positions 524 to 798 of the family's 1533-position model. The record is from RNAcentral.
UACGUAGGGUCCGAGCGUUGUCCGGAAUUAUUGGGCGUAAAGAGCUCGUAGGCGGUAUGUCGCGUCUGCUGUGAAAGACCGGGGCUUAACUUCGGUUUUGCAGUGGAUACGGGCAUGCUUGAGGUAGGUAGGGGAGACUGGAAUUCCUGGUGUAGCGGUGAAAUGCGCAGAUAUCAGGAGGAACACCGGUGGCGAAGGCGGGUCUCUGGGCCUUACCUGACGCUGAGGAGCGAAAGCAUGGGUAGCCAACAGGAUUAGAUACCCGCGUAGUCCCU